CCUUAUGCUUUUAACUACCUUGAUCGAAUCAUAGGAUUCUAACAACAGUGCGUUUAAGUCUUCAUCAUUGUGAUUGUAAUGACGAUGAUGGAUGGAUUGUUUGGUUUGUCCAAUUUUUAUACAUUUUUUCAUUUAGAUCACUAUAUUGAUCUUGUACGGCUAUAAAGUUGCCUGAUGAAAUGAGCUACAUUUAUAUUUGUAAUUCUUGUGCCUGUAGUUGGAAAAAGGCUAUUGUCUUCUUUAUCUUGGGCUGAUUUACUAUUUGCUUUUAAAACUUUCAGGUGGUUUCUGGGAUACACUUG
RNAcentral lists this unclassified non-coding RNA (302 nucleotides) under Hevea brasiliensis (rubber tree). Lineage: Eukaryota; Viridiplantae; Streptophyta; Magnoliopsida; Malpighiales; Euphorbiaceae. The record is from RNAcentral.